RNAcentral lists this ribosomal RNA (1465 nucleotides) under Clostridioides difficile. Its description in RNAcentral is "bacterial LSU rRNA". It matches the Rfam family "Bacterial large subunit ribosomal RNA", at positions 921 to 2403 of the family's 2925-position model. The record is from RNAcentral. Lineage: Bacteria; Bacillati; Bacillota; Clostridia; Peptostreptococcales; Peptostreptococcaceae.
AGGGGGUAUUGCACCUACCGAAGACUAUCAAACUCCGAAUGCCGUCAUCUUAUACUUGGGAGUCAGACUGUGGGUGAUAAGAUUCAUAGUCGAAAGGGCAACAGCCCAGAUCGUCAGCUAAGGUCCCUAAAUGUAAGUUAAGUGGUAAAGGAUGUGGGAUUGCACAGACAACCAGGAUGUUGGCUUAGAAGCAGCCACUCAUUCAAAGAGUGCGUAAUAGCUCACUGGUCGAGUGAUCCUGCGCCGAAGAUUUCCGGGGCUAAAACUUACUACCGAAGCUACGGCAUCAGUAAUGAUGGGUAGGGGAGCUUCCCAUACGGGUUGAAGCAUGACCGUAAGGACAUGUGGACAGUAUGGGAGUGAGAAUGUUGGCAUGAGUAGCGAGAUGUGGGUGAGAAUCCCACAGGCCGUAAACCCAAGGUUUCCAGGGGAAGGUUCGUCCGCCCUGGGUUAGUCGGGACCUAAGCUGAGGCCGAAAGGCGUAGGUGAUGGACAACAGGUUGAUAUUCCUGUACUACCGAUAACCGUUUGAGAGAAGGGAUGACACAGUAGGAUAAGCUAAGCACACUGUUGGUUAUGUGUGCCCAAGCAUUGAGGCAGUCAAAGUAGGCAAAUCCGCUUUGAUAAUGCUAGGAUGUGAUGGGGAGCGAAAUUUAGUAGCGAAGUAGCUGAUUUCACACUGUCAAGAAAAGUCUCUAUCGAGGUUAAAGGUACCCGUACCGCAAACCGACACAGGUGGGUGAGGAGAGUAUCCUAAGGCCAGCGAGAGAACUGUUGUUAAGGAACUCGGCAAAAUGACCCCGUAACUUAGGGAUAAGGGGUGCCACCAUCAGGUGGCCGCAGAGAAUAGGCCCAAGCGACUGUUUACCAAAAACAUAGGUUUCUGCUAAGUCGCAAGACGAUGUAUAGGAGCUGACGCCUGCCCGGUGCUGGAAGGUUAAGGGGAUCUGUUAGAGCAAUCGAAGCAGUGAACUUAAGCCCCAGUAAACGGCGGCCGUAACUAUAACGGUCCUAAGGUAGCGAAAUUCCUUGUCGGGUAAGUUCCGACCCGCACGAAAGGCGUAACGAUUUGGGCACUGUCUCAACAACAGACUCGGUGAAAUUGUAAUUCCGGUGAAGAUGCCGGAUACCUGCGACAGGACGGAAAGACCCCAUGGAGCUUUACUGUAGCUUGACAUUGGGUCUUGGUACUACAUGUACAGGAUAGGUGGGAGGCUUUGAAACCAGGACGCCAGUUUUGGCGGAGCCAUCCUUGGGAUACCACCCUUGUAGUACUGGGACUCUAACCAUAGGCCAUGAAUCUGGUCUUGGGACACUGUCAGGUGGGCAGUUUGACUGGGGCGGUCGCCUCCCAAAAGGUAACGGAGGCGCUCAAAGGUUCUCUCAGUACGGUCGGAAAUCGUACGUAGAGUGUAAAGGCAAAAGAGAGCUUGAUUGCAAGACAUACAGGUCGAGCAAGGAUGAA